CAAGUACAAACAAGCAGAGUGGUGCAAGAGGGUAGGCCUAACAACGCUCGCAAAUUGCAAUCAUUUUUUAUAAUUCUGGCCUGGAGGGGAUAGUCAAAUGCUCAAAUUAAGGUCUCUGUUGUCCCGAUGUUGCACUAAAAGUUUCCGAAUUUCGGGCACUUUUAAAACCUAAGUUCAACUUUGCAGAGUAUGAAAAGCUAUAGACCAACAGAGACUAAUUAAAGAAAAAAACCAAAUAGUCACAAUUUCUGCCUAGAUUCGAUCAGGAGGUGCCGACACGGACUAACCUACGAUUAACGAAGGCGCAUUUGGGGGUUUUUUUGGGCGGUUCAACCCAAGCCCCGGAGCACAUUCCCCUUUUCCCCCAGGCGGCCACGAAUCCCAAGCCAAGAACCACCCAUAACGCGCCGGAUCCGUCUCGGACGGCGGCGCGCGAGCAAGAAACGAGGGGGGGAAGCGAGCGAGCUCACCCUGGGGAAAGGGACCGGCGGCGCCUCCCGCUCCGCGUGUGCCUCGUCUUGCCGCGCUGCCCCCUGUUCCAUGGGAGGGGCGGGCGCGGGGUAGCCGUUGACGGCCAAGGAGCCUGGCGUGAUAUAUACUCGUAUAACCGCGCCCGCUACGGCGCGUACGAACGGCUGGCUGCCGGGGGAAUGCGGGCCGUCAAAUCCGCCGGAAAGAGUGAGGAUCUUGCGCUGGUUUCCGUGCCUUUCCGUCUAUGGUGUCGGCUUUUUCUUCCCGUAAUGGAGCAGAGAGAGAGAGAGAGGGGGGGGGCAGACGAAAGUAGAGAGCGCGGAGUGAGGUGGGUGAUCAGUGGAGAGAGACGCCUCCGAUGUGGAGACGUGGAGUGUUUAC
Molecule: long non-coding RNA, 852 nt
Filed under: Hordeum vulgare
Lineage: Eukaryota; Viridiplantae; Streptophyta; Magnoliopsida; Poales; Poaceae
Description: long non-coding RNA (HVUL_LNC001836)
Source: RNAcentral